RNAcentral lists this ribosomal RNA (484 nucleotides) under uncultured bacterium. RNAcentral's name for it is "partial 16S ribosomal RNA". It matches the Rfam family "Bacterial small subunit ribosomal RNA", at positions 30 to 507 of the family's 1533-position model. The record is from RNAcentral.
AUUGAACGCUGGCGGCAGGCCUAACACAUGCAAGUCGAGCGGAUGAAGGGAGCUUGCUCCUGGAUUCAGCGGCGGACGGGUGAGUAAUGCCUAGGAAUCUGCCUGGUCGUGGGGGAUAACGUCCGGAAACGGGCGCUAAUACCGCAUACGUCCUUAGGUAGAAAGUGGGGGAUCUUCGGACCUCACGCUAUCAGCUGAGCCUAGGUCGGAUUAGCUAGUUGGUGGGGUAAAGGCCUACCAAGGCGACGAUCCGUAACUGGUCUGAGAGGAUGAUCAGUCACACUGGAACUGAGACACGGUCCAGACUCCUACGGGAGGCAGCAGUGGGGAAUAUUGGACAAUGGGCGAAAGCCUGAUCCAGCCAUGCCGCGUGUGUGAAGAAGGUCUUCGGAUUGUAAAGCACUUUAAGUUGGGAGGAAGGGCAGUAAGUUAAUACCUUGCUGUUUUGACGUUACCAACAGAAUAAGCACCGGCUAACUUCGUG